This 2132-nucleotide ribosomal RNA is filed under the name Salmonella enterica. Its description in RNAcentral is "partial 23S ribosomal RNA". It matches the Rfam family "Bacterial large subunit ribosomal RNA", at positions 689 to 2802 of the family's 2925-position model. Lineage: Bacteria; Pseudomonadati; Pseudomonadota; Gammaproteobacteria; Enterobacterales; Enterobacteriaceae. RNAcentral also lists the same sequence under 1 other name. The record is from RNAcentral.
CGGGCGUUAAGUUGCAGGGUAUAGACCCGAAACCCGGUGAUCUAGCCAUGGGCAGGUUGAAGGUUGGGUAACACUAACUGGAGGACCGAACCGACUAAUGUUGAAAAAUUAGCGGAUGACCUGUGGCUGGGGGUGAAAGGCCAAUCAAACCGGGAGAUAGCUGGUUCUCCCCGAAAGCUAUUUAGGUAGCGCCUCGUGAAUUCAUCUCCGGGGGUAGAGCACUGUUUCGGCUAGGGGGCCAUCCCGGCUUACCAACCCGAUGCAAACUGCGAAUACCGGAGAAUGUUAUCACGGGAGACACACGGCGGGUGCUAACGUCCGUCGUGAAGAGGGAAACAACCCAGACCGCCAGCUAAGGUCCCAAAGUCAUGGUUAAGUGGGAAACGAUGUGGGAAGGCCCAGACAGCCAGGAUGUUGGCUUAGAAGCAGCCAUCAUUUAAAGAAAGCGUAAUAGCUCACUGGUCGAGUCGGCCUGCGCGGAAGAUGUAACGGGGCUAAACCAUGCACCGAAGCUGCGGCAGCGACACUGUGUGUUGUUGGGUAGGGGAGCGUUCUGUAAGCCUGCGAAGGUGGCCUGUGAGGGUUGCUGGAGGUAUCAGAAGUGCGAAUGCUGACAUAAGUAACGAUAAAGCGGGUGAAAAGCCCGCUCGCCGGAAGACCAAGGGUUCCUGUCCAACGUUAAUCGGGGCAGGGUGAGUCGACCCCUAAGGCGAGGCCGAAAGGCGUAGUCGAUGGGAAACGGGUUAAUAUUCCCGUACUUGGUGUUACUGCGAAGGGGGGACGGAGAAGGCUAUGUUGGCCGGGCGACGGUUGUCCCGGUUUAAGCGUGUAGGUGUGUGUUCCAGGUAAAUCCGGUUCACUUUAACACUGAGGCGUGACGACGAGGCACUACGGUGCUGAAGCAACAAAUGCCCUGCUUCCAGGAAAAGCCUCUAAGCAUCAGGUAACAUCAAAUCGUACCCCAAACCGACACAGGUGGUCAGGUAGAGAAUACCAAGGCGCUUGAGAGAACUCGGGUGAAGGAACUAGGCAAAAUGGUGCCGUAACUUCGGGAGAAGGCACGCUGACACGUAGGUGAAGUGAUUUACUCAUGGAGCUGAAGUCAGUCGAAGAUACCAGCUGGCUGCAACUGUUUAUUAAAAACACAGCACUGUGCAAACACGAAAGUGGACGUAUACGGUGUGACGCCUGCCCGGUGCCGGAAGGUUAAUUGAUGGGGUCAGCGCAAGCGAAGCUCCUGAUCGAAGCCCCGGUAAACGGCGGCCGUAACUAUAACGGUCCUAAGGUAGCGAAAUUCCUUGUCGGGUAAGUUCCGACCUGCACGAAUGGCGUAAUGAUGGCCAGGCUGUCUCCACCCGAGACUCAGUGAAAUUGAACUCGCUGUGAAGAUGCAGUGUACCCGCGGCAAGACGGAAAGACCCCGUGAACCUUUACUAUAGCUUGACACUGAACAUUGAGCCUUGAUGUGUAGGAUAGGUGGGAGGCUUUGAAGUGUGGACGCCAGUCUGCAUGGAGCCGACCUUGAAAUACCACCCUUUAAUGUUUGAUGUUCUAACGUGGACCCGUUACCCGGGUUGCGGACAGUGUCUGGUGGGUAGUUUGACUGGGGCGGUCUCCUCCUAAAGAGUAACGGAGGAGCACGAAGGUUGGCUAAUCCUGGUCGGACAUCAGGAGGUUAGUGCAAUGGCAUAAGCCAGCUUGACUGCGAGCGUGACGGCGCGAGCAGGUGCGAAAGCAGGUCAUAGUGAUCCGGUGGUUCUGAAUGGAAGGGCCAUCGCUCAACGGAUAAAAGGUACUCCGGGGAUAACAGGCUGAUACCGCCCAAGAGUUCAUAUCGACGGCGGUGUUUGGCACCUCGAUGUCGGCUCAUCACAUCCUGGGGCUGAAGUAGGUCCCAAGGGUAUGGCUGUUCGCCAUUUAAAGUGGUACGCGAGCUGGGUUUAGAACGUCGUGAGACAGUUCGGUCCCUAUCUGCCGUGGGCGCUGGAGAACUGAGGGGGGCUGCUCCUAGUACGAGAGGACCGGAGUGGACGCAUCACUGGUGUUCGGGUUGUCAUGCCAAUGGCACUGCCCGGUAGCUAAAUGCGGAAGAGAUAAGUGCUGAAAGCAUCUAAGCACGAAACUUGCCCCGA